CUGUCUAAGGGGCGAAUUAAUGGGCGAGGGAGCGGCCGACCUGUGAUCCCCUGGCUCUUCGCCCAGUGCCUCAGGCCCCAUGCGACUUGCUGGGGUUCUGUCUUUUGUCAUGCGACCCCUUUGGCCAUCAGGGUUCUGAGUAGGUGCUGGCUCAGCAAUCCGAAGGUCAACCCUGUUAUGACGGUACAGUGAUCCAUUCACUUCGACCAAGUAGGAGCGUGGUGCCACUUUCUGUACACAGGAUCCGAGUCUCCAGAGGCCUGUCCGGUCCCCUGGUAGUGGCUUCAUUCACACCGUUCCACCCACCCUGAGCUCAGCGGAUGUUGCACGAGUGGAACCCCUAGCACUAACAACUUUAAGUUCCUUGCUCAGAACAUGAGAAGAACACAUGAAAUCUGGUGGUUCCGGUUAACAUGAGUCUUCAAUAUUCCCAGGUACAGACCUCUCCUGCUGACUUGUCAGUGAUGAGUGUCUCUCCACAGCCUUUCCAGAUCAUCUCCACUGAGCCCUCCGCCACACAGCAACGAAUACAGGUAACAAUAUCCUACAUUAGUGACUUCUGCUUGAAGCAAACUGCCACUUAUUGAUAGCAUACACACACUGCACCCUAAUGACAACUUAUAAUGUACACAGAUUCCAAAUCCCACUUAUACUAUUUGAAUAUGGCUUAAGUUAUAAGGGAGAGUUUGGGAUUUUGGAAAUGAGUCCCUUUUAUAGUUGCAAAGGGUCAUAACUUCCCGGUAAAUUUCCGAAAUUUUUCUGGAACUUUUCCAUGAGAAGUUGAGCCUGGGAAUUUUACAUAAAUUCAACAAAGUUAUUACAGUGAAUUUUUUUGUGGGAUACACAAAGGCAAUUCUAGGUCUUCUGGCAUAUUUUGGUUAAACUAUCCCCAAUUCAAUGGAAUUGCAACCCUCUGCAUGCACAGUGCAUUCUUCCAUCACAUGUACAGCU
Long non-coding RNA from Oncorhynchus gorbuscha (pink salmon), 951 nucleotides. RefSeq lists it as uncharacterized. The record is from RefSeq and is a predicted model, not a curated record. The transcript is spliced from 3 exons. NCBI's taxonomy places the organism in Eukaryota, Metazoa, Chordata, Actinopteri, Salmoniformes, Salmonidae.